RNAcentral lists this ribosomal RNA (462 nucleotides) under uncultured bacterium. RNAcentral's name for it is "partial 16S ribosomal RNA". It matches the Rfam family "Bacterial small subunit ribosomal RNA", at positions 28 to 507 of the family's 1533-position model. The record is from RNAcentral.
GACGAACGCUGGCGGCGUGCUUAACACAUGCAAGUCGAGCGGUAAGGCCUUUCGGGGUACACGAGCGGCGAACGGGUGAGUAACACGUGGGUGAUCUGCCCUGCACUUCGGGAUAAGCCUGGGAAACUGGGUCUAAUACCGGAUAUGACCUCCUAUCGCAUGGUGGGUGGUGGAAAGAUUUAUCGGUGCAGGAUGGGCCCGCGGCCUAUCAGCUUGUUGGUGGGGUAAUGGCCUACCAAGGCGACGACGGGUAGCCGACCUGAGAGGGUGACCGGCCACACUGGGACUGAGACACGGCCCAGACUCCUACGGGAGGCAGCAGUGGGGAAUAUUGCACAAUGGGCGAAAGCCUGAUGCGGCGACGCCGCGUGAGGGAUGACGGCCUUCGGGCUGUAAACCUCUUUCAGCAGGGACGAAGCGCAAGUGACGGUACCUGCAGAAGAAGCACCGGCUAACUACGUG